RNAcentral lists this ribosomal RNA (459 nucleotides) under uncultured bacterium. RNAcentral describes it as "partial 16S ribosomal RNA". It matches the Rfam family "Bacterial small subunit ribosomal RNA", at positions 338 to 795 of the family's 1533-position model. The record is from RNAcentral.
CCUACGGGUGGCAGCAGUGAGGAAUAUUGGUCAAUGGGCGCGAGCCUGAACCAGCCAAGUCGCGUGAGGGAAGACGGUCCUAUGGAUUGUAAACCUCUUUUGUCGGGGAGCAAAAGACGCCACGCGUGGCGUUCCGAGAGUACCCGAAGAAAAAGCAUCGGCUAACUCCGUGCCAGCAGCCGCGGUAAUACGGAGGCUGCGAGCGUUAUCCGGAUUUAUUGGGUUAAAAGGGUGCGCAGGCGGAAGAUCAAGUCAGCGGUAAAAUUGAGAGGCUCAACCUCUUCGAGCCGUUGAAACUGGUUGUCUUGAGUGAGUGAGAAGUAUGCGGAAUACGUGGUGUAGCGGUGAAAUGCAUAGAUAUCACGCAGAACUCCGAUUGCGAAGGCAGCAUACCGGCGCUCAACUGACGCUCAUGCACGAAAGUGUGGGUAUCGAACAGGAUUAGAUACCCCUGUAGUC